This 609-nucleotide ribosomal RNA is filed under the name Triticum aestivum (bread wheat). RNAcentral describes it as "partial small subunit ribosomal RNA". Lineage: Eukaryota; Viridiplantae; Streptophyta; Magnoliopsida; Poales; Poaceae. The record is from RNAcentral.
AUGCGCGAAUCACUAGCAUACAUUUUUCCUGUUUUAUGUUACUUUGCAUUAUUUGCUAGUCGUUGUUUAAUUGGACGCGGAAACUGUGGAAACCUUAGUAUCCCUGAUAUAAUUAUUCUACUCCAAGGUUUAUAUAGUGAUAACACUUUUAGUAUGGGCAGUAUUAUUGCUAGACGGUUAAAUAUGAACCGUACUAAGGGCCCCAUAUUUGGAGGCAUCUAUGCUACACGCCUAGCCGCACAUUUUAACAUACCUAUUAGGCAUGCUGAGAAGGAAGAAAAGGUGUUGCCCCGUGUUUAUCUAGAUCAUAAAAGUAUGGUGGCACAUGAUUUUAUUGUUAAGAAUAGGGCAGGAGAGCUUAAAUAUCAAUUGUUCUUUAAUAAACAUCAUCCUGAGACUAUUACCUUGCCUACUCCUUCUUUGUUUGAUUUGACUGCAGGCACGUACCUUGUUCCGUUGACGGCUAUUCACGCCUACCGGAACCCUGCACCAGCCGAGGAGCCAGAACCGGAACCACAAUUUGAUCCUUCACGGCAGUCUAACUAUCAGUGGGAUCCAGAGAUGAUUGCCAGCCAGUGGCAAUUGGAGCCUUCUUCUUCCUCAUCAUAG